UACGUAGGUGGCAAGCGUUGUCCGGAAUUAUUGGGCGUAAAGCGCGCGCAGGCGGUCCUUUAAGUCUGAUGUGAAAGCCCACGGCUCAACCGUGGAGGGUCAUUGGAAACUGGGGGACUUGAGUGCAGGAGAGAAGAGUGGAAUUCCACGUGUAGCGGUGAAAUGCGUAGAGAUGUGGAGGAACACCAGUGGCGAAGGCGACUUCCUGGCCUGUUCUUGACGCUGAGGCGCGAAAGCUAGGGGAGCAAACGGG
This 253-nucleotide ribosomal RNA is filed under the name uncultured bacterium. RNAcentral describes it as "partial 16S ribosomal RNA". It matches the Rfam family "Bacterial small subunit ribosomal RNA", at positions 524 to 776 of the family's 1533-position model. The record is from RNAcentral.